RNAcentral lists this ribosomal RNA (274 nucleotides) under uncultured bacterium. RNAcentral describes it as "partial 16S ribosomal RNA". It matches the Rfam family "Bacterial small subunit ribosomal RNA", at positions 523 to 796 of the family's 1533-position model. The record is from RNAcentral.
AUACGGAGGGUGCAAGCGUUGUCCGGAUUUAUUGGGUUUGAAGGGUGCGUAGGCGGAUAAUUAAGUCAGUGGUGAAAGACUGCAGCUCAACUGUAGAGGUGCCAUUGAUACUGAUUAUCUUGAGUACAGUUGAGGUAGGCGGAAUUUAUGGUGUAGCGGUGAAAUGCAUAGAUACCAUAAAGAACACCGAUAGCGAAGGCAGCUUACUGGACUGUAACUGACGCUGAGGCACGAAAGCGUGGGGAGCGAACGGGAUUAGAAACCCUAGUAGUCC